RNAcentral lists this ribosomal RNA (253 nucleotides) under uncultured bacterium. RNAcentral's name for it is "partial 16S ribosomal RNA". It matches the Rfam family "Bacterial small subunit ribosomal RNA", at positions 524 to 776 of the family's 1533-position model. The record is from RNAcentral.
UACGUAGGGUGCAAGCGUUAAUCGGAAUUACUGGGCGUAAAGCGUGCGCAGGCGGCUUUGCAAGAUAGAUGUGAAAUCCCCGGGCUUAACCUGGGAACCGCAUUUGUGACUGCAUAGCUGGAGUACGGCAGAGGGGGAUGGAAUUCCGCGUGUAGCAGUGAAAUGCGUAGAUAUGCGGAGGAACACCGAUGGCGAAGGCAGUCCCCUGGGCCUGUACUGACGCUCAUGCACGAAAGCGUGGGGAGCAAACAGG